AUGAGGCCUCUGGACUGCAUCGGUUUUUUGCACAAAGACCCCUGGAUCCAGGGCGAAAGGCGCAUAGCCCCCUUUCCUCUGUUCUCUGCCUGUUCGUGUUCUUCGCCGAUGGGAGAGGAGACAGGUGGCACCGCUAGCGCGGCGAGCUCGUCGGCGGCAAGUCAGUCAUCGGUGACGAUGGUGGAUCCGGCGACGGAGUUGCCACUCCUGAGGACCGAAGCGCAUGGGAGGCCGAUAUACGGUUAUGAAUCAGUGAAAUUCAAUGUGGAGGUGCAUCAUGGAGGGUUUUUUGUGUGGAAGGGAGUGAAUCUGACAUAUUUGGAUGAGAAGAUAUGUUGGUUUGACAAUUUGGACACAAGAACUUUUUGCAGUGACUGCAUCUACUACAUGCUAGCACAAUUGAAUGAUCCUGAUCAUGAGAAAAUUAUGUAUUGGUGCCCACCUGGAAAAAUACUUGCAGAUAUGGUGGAAAUCAUCCUGGAAGUUCACUGUCAGAAGAUGGCCAAAGCCUCUGUUCACUCAAAGGUACUGGUUUUGUUUGUCAGGCAUAUCAGAAAACCUGAGAUGCAGGAGGAAGAUGACAUUGUGUUCAAAGGUUGCCCUGUUCUACCCAAAGUUAUAUUUAGUCCACUUAGAAAUGACAAGAAGAUGAAAACAGAGAAACUGUCAGAGGAGGCAGAAAAUUCAGAGCAACAAGAAGAUGCAGAUAUAUCAGAAAAUUCAGAAGUUUCAGAAGAAGAGUAUGAAUGUGAUUCAGACAUAGAUCCUACUUGGUAUGACAGUGAUUAUGGAAUGGAGGAGGAUGAUGAGGAGUAUGACAAGAAUGUAGAUGCUGUUGUGUAUGAUGCUUUGAUUGAGAAAGGCAAAAGUAUUGGUGCUGAUACAGGCAUGUUCCUGGGACAGAUGAUGUGUAUGAAGAUGAUUUGUAGCUGCCAGAAGAGGAUGAUUGGGAUAGAAAACAUAAAAGUGACUCUGAUGAUGAGGAGUAUAAGAAGAAAAAAGAAGGAGAACCCCAUUUAUAAGUUUAAACUAUUUAACCCAGCUGUUGACAUGGAAAACCCUCAAUUCAAGCUGGGCAUGGUUUUUGAUUCUGUGGAGCUCCUUAGGAAAGUAGUAGCACAGUAUGUAGUGAAGAACAGGGUGCAAAUUAGGAAGAAAAGAAAUAAUAAACAAAGAUUUGAGGCAGUGUGUGAAGAGGGUUGCCCUUGGAAACUAGUGGCUGUUAAUGACAAUAGGACACAAUCUUUUCUUGUGAAGACUUUAAUUGCAGAGCACACUUGUGAGAAGGUCUGGGAUGUCAAAGAACUAACAGCCCCCUUUCUUGCUAGCAAAUAUGUGGAGAAGUUCAGAGAUAAUGAGAAGAUUUCUCUAGCUACAUUUUCAAGGAAAGUUAGGAAGAAAUUUAACAUGGAAGUUAGCAGACACAAGCUAGGUAGAGAUAGGAAAGCAGCAUUGGAAGUGGUGCAUGGGGAUGAGGUGAAGUAG
RNAcentral lists this ribosomal RNA (1485 nucleotides) under Triticum aestivum (bread wheat). RNAcentral describes it as "partial small subunit ribosomal RNA". The record is from RNAcentral. Lineage: Eukaryota; Viridiplantae; Streptophyta; Magnoliopsida; Poales; Poaceae.